This 207-nucleotide long non-coding RNA is filed under the name Cyanistes caeruleus (blue tit). RNAcentral's name for it is "lncRNA (ENSCCEG00000012236.1)". Lineage: Eukaryota; Metazoa; Chordata; Aves; Passeriformes; Paridae. The record is from RNAcentral.
GGAAAAGAUCAGUGUGAUCUCCUGGCUCCUCUCUGGCAGCCCAGUAUUUGUGAAGGAUUUUUAAAAAAAGCAGUGUCUGGAAGAAAAGCCUUGGAGAGAAUUAUCCACAAUUUCCUAACAGGAGAAGGUGUUGUGAUUUGCUGUGACUUUUGAGAGUGACCAAGAUAUUGUGAUAGAAGAUAAUAAAAUAUUCUAAUAAAAUAUUAG